UGCCCUUGUUGUUCUCUUGUUAUUGGAAGUGUGAGAAAGUGUGUGGUGACCAUGCCAAAAAAAUCAGUAACCUUUCAGUGGCAGUUUGUAGAGCACAGUGAAACAUUGCAAAAAGCUGCCGUCACACAAGGACUUUCUCCCUUGGCUGCAGGCACAUUUGAACUGUGAUAUCUAGGGGGUGGAAAGCUGAGAGUGAUUUCUCAACAUUGUUCCUGAAAUAAUCCUGCUAAAGUCAAGAGGGCUCCUUGAACAGAGCCCCUGGAGUCCUACAGUGCUCAGAGUCACGGCAACAUCUCUGUGCCCCACACAGAGGCUGAGGUGAAGAAAAGGCCCCUCUCCCCUUUGAGGUGAAUUUGGCACCUCUCAAGAUCACAGACUGUCAUCCUGGUUUGGCACAAGAUAGGAAUUGGAAUGGUUGGUGAUAAAUGGAUUACACAGCGCUCUUUGUUUCAGCGCAAAGCCUGUGAAAUAAAUGCAAAUUCCUCCCCACACCACCAGCAGCACUGCAGCAGGUCUGGCUUCAGCAGGAAGGAUGGAGAGUCUCCAGUUUCUGCCCAGUGCCCAGGAUCCUGCCUGCAAGGGAGAUUUAACUGGUGGGACAUGUAUCCAUACCCAGUCUGGUGAGUGGGAUUGAAGGUCUUCCUUUUCCCAGGGGAGCAUUUCCACCAGGGGAGGCCUCAAUAGCUUUUUCAAACAAAAAGAGGGAGCCUUGCACAACACGCUGGCCUGCACUCCCAAAGAUUGCCAAAGAGGCCUUUGCACUCUCUAAACUUGACCAGAAAUUCCCAUUCUUUGGUCCUGCUCACAGGUUUCCUGUUUUAGCACUGGUAUUUUAGAUCCAAGUUCCAAAACACAUAGUUCAGUUCACUUCAGGUGCUUAAAAAAACACAGAUCUGUGCCUAACUCUGUCCUUUAUACUGGUUCUGACCCUCAGAAGCCAGAAGGUGCUGGCAAGCUCUGCUGCAGCUCCAUAUGAUUGCUUUGUGGCUCCCUCUGCUCUUUAGAGGGGAAGGAAGACAUGUUCUUGCUCCCAUCCAGGCUCCAUUGCCAGGCUCUGAUCUUCCAAAUUAUCACCCUACAGAGAGACCUUUAACAAGGGCUGGCUUGUCCCCUCUGCUGGGUCUCCAGCAAGCAUUUCUUCAGUGUCAGAGCUGCAACUCUGCAUUUUUCUGCCUCCUCACAUAGGAUCUUUCUGCUUCUUACUCACUCCUUCCCCUCACUCCCCAUCCCUCUCCUCUCUUUCAACUCAUUCCAUCAUUUUCACUGAGGAGGAUCUCUCCCGUGGUUUUUAUUGCCAGCCCAUGUUGUCCUGACAUGAAAAGCUAAUUCAAAAGGAGACAACUUCUUCAGAGGGAAUUGAAGACUGCAGCCAUAUUCUCAGCUUUAUGUGGGAUCAGAAAUUGACAGAAAAACAUAAAUCAUAAGAACUAGAGCUGAUUUGCAACAGGCAGAGCUUACAGUUCCUGGCACAACAGCAACAAAUUGGAAUUUGGCUUGUACUGAGUGAGAGCCCUUCUCACUGAUCCCUCUAGACACUGAUCACACUGGGUAGCGAGAACCAGGCUUGGAGAUGGACUGACAGAUGUGAGUGGCAAGAAAAGGGCUGAGGUUGUGCCCCACUUCACCUUACAGCCUCUGCUCAGAGAAACUGUAUGCUAAAGAUUCAAACACAUUCUGCUUUU
This 1682-nucleotide long non-coding RNA is filed under the name Corvus moneduloides (New Caledonian crow). RNAcentral describes it as "lncRNA (ENSCMUG00000017552.1)". Lineage: Eukaryota; Metazoa; Chordata; Aves; Passeriformes; Corvidae. The record is from RNAcentral.